This 74-nucleotide transfer RNA is filed under the name Siphoviridae sp. cta6m1. Its description in RNAcentral is "tRNA-Val". It matches the Rfam family "tRNA". Rfam says of the family: Transfer RNA (tRNA) molecules are approximately 80 nucleotides in length. RNAcentral also lists the same sequence under 1 other name. Lineage: Duplodnaviria; Heunggongvirae; Uroviricota; Caudoviricetes. The record is from RNAcentral.
GUCCGGUUAGCUCAGCAGGUUAGAGCAUCUGCCUUACAAGCAGGAGGUCGGCGGUUCGAUUCCGUCACGGGACA